GGGAUUGUGGCUCAGUGGUAGAGUGCUCACCUAGUAUGCGUGAGGCACUGGGUUCGAUCCUCAGCACCA
Molecule: transfer RNA, 69 nt
Filed under: Ictidomys tridecemlineatus (thirteen-lined ground squirrel)
Lineage: Eukaryota; Metazoa; Chordata; Mammalia; Rodentia; Sciuridae
Description: Spermophilus tridecemlineatus (thirteen-lined ground squirrel) tRNA
Rfam family: tRNA
About the family: Transfer RNA (tRNA) molecules are approximately 80 nucleotides in length. Their secondary structure includes four short double-helical elements and three loops (D, anti-codon, and T loops). Further hydrogen bonds mediate the characteristic L-shaped molecular structure. tRNAs have two regions of fundamental functional importance: the anti-codon, which is responsible for specific mRNA codon recognition, and the 3' end, to which the tRNAs corresponding amino acid is attached (by aminoacyl-tRNA synthetases). tRNAs cope with the degeneracy of the genetic code in two manners: having more than one tRNA (with a specific anti-codon) for a particular amino acid; and 'wobble' base-pairing, i.e. permitting non-standard base-pairing at the 3rd anti-codon position.
Source: Rfam by way of RNAcentral